This is a long non-coding RNA of Passer domesticus (house sparrow), 908 nucleotides long. RefSeq lists it as uncharacterized. The record is from RefSeq and is a predicted model, not a curated record. The transcript has 3 exons. Lineage: Eukaryota; Metazoa; Chordata; Aves; Passeriformes; Passeridae.
AGCUGGGAAUGGAAAAGCUUGUUGCUUAGGGGGUGCGCCAUGGCAACAAUCAUUUGUCAUUCUGAAUCAUGGCACAUACCUGAGCACUGGUAAUAACUUGCUUGUUAGCCUCAACCUUCUUACAGUGAAAGGAGACAGGAAGAAAGGAGAAAAAAAAACACCCAAAACCAACAACAAAACACCCCAGCUACAGCUUAGCAAAUGUGCUGCAGUUAAGUCAUUAAGCAUGAAUAGCGAAGGGAUAAUGGAGGGCCAAAGGAAGUUGAAACUUGAACUUGCUAAGGAAGAACAGUUUUCUGAGGCACCAAUGAAGGUAUAUAAACAGACAGAAUCCAGGUAUUAAAGGAAGCAAGGGAGGCCUGAGUGGUGGCAAACAAGCUGACACACCAAAGGAUCCACCUAGAAGCAACGUGCUAAAUCCUGCAGAAGAGCACACAGCAAGAGCAGAGAGCACAUGGAAAACCAUCUGAGUCCUGAGAGAAGUCAGGGAGUAGCUGUGCUUCAAGUGCCCCUUCUGCCUGCUUCACAGGAAUGCUGCCUUGCAAUGCCGGUGUCUUGCUCAGUGCCAGCCACCGUUUUGUCCUUAGCUCCGAGGACUCUGGGGUUUUGAAGAGUCCCAGGAGCAUCUUGAAGGAAUGCAUCUUUCAGCCGAGUUCCCAAAACUAUCAGCAGCAGGGAGAGCAAUUGUGUCUCUCACCAAUACCGAUGUUCUGCAUGCAUGGGAAGGCAAAGGUGGAUCCCUACACAUGGCUGUCGAGCAGCUCAACAGAUCUGCCAAGCACUGUCCUCAGGUAGCCCUCAGUUACGGAAGAACAGCUAUUAAAUUAUAUAAUACUUCUUUAUAAAAAAGCAGCAAAAUUAUUAUUGUGAAUACAGAAAUAAUUCAUUGCAACAUUGUCACUUUCUAU